UGUCCAGCCCACUUCACCUCUUUUACUUUCUAUGAGACACAUCUUGGGGACAUGUUUCUCCUUUCUCCUAAAGCAAGUAAGAGUCCUCUCCCUCCCUGGAGCAAGGACCAACCGGUGCCGGCUCUUUGGGGUUGAACAUUGCUGGCUCCAGAUGCUGAAUGGGAAUUUGGCUGGAGGUUCGAGUGUCUGCCAAACCAGGGGAAACAUCCCAGGCCGUUGUAAAGGCCAGCAACCACUCCCCACAAACUAAGAACAUUUCAAGAAUGACUACAGGAAUUGGAAGAAAAUGAGGGAAGGUGGGCUAGUCUGGAUUUUUUAAGGUAUUAGCCUGGAGCACUGAGACCUACAAAUUCUGAGAGAUUGGAGUUCUGGUUCCUACAGGAAUCCCAGUAUGGGCAAGGCUGGUGAGGAAACUGGAAAUACGAUAAACAUAGACUACUAGAAGCAAUCAGACCUGCUAGGCCCAAAGUAGCAAGACAGAAGCCAACCAUGAGAGCUGGCUUCCAACCAUGAGAAGGGCCAUCAGAAGAGAUGAAUUAAAAGAAAAAAUACUCAUCAAAACUGA
Molecule: long non-coding RNA, 565 nt
Organism: Marmota monax (woodchuck)
Lineage: Eukaryota; Metazoa; Chordata; Mammalia; Rodentia; Sciuridae
Exons: 3
Source: RefSeq, a predicted model, not a curated record